GGCGACGUGGCCAAGUGGUAAGGCAGUCCUCUGCAAAAGGACGAUCAUGGGUUCGAUUCCCAUCGUCGCCUCCA
This 74-nucleotide transfer RNA is filed under the name Chloroflexota bacterium. RNAcentral's name for it is "Chloroflexi bacterium tRNA-Cys". It matches the Rfam family "tRNA". Rfam says of the family: Transfer RNA (tRNA) molecules are approximately 80 nucleotides in length. Lineage: Bacteria; Bacillati; Chloroflexota. The record is from RNAcentral.